AGGUGGUUAGAGCGCACCCCUGAUAAGGGUGAGGUCGGUGGUUCAAGUC
Molecule: ribosomal RNA, 49 nt
Filed under: Escherichia coli DEC6C
Lineage: Bacteria; Pseudomonadati; Pseudomonadota; Gammaproteobacteria; Enterobacterales; Enterobacteriaceae
Source: RNAcentral